Hypanus sabinus (Atlantic stingray) is the source of this 1790-nucleotide long non-coding RNA. RefSeq lists it as uncharacterized. The transcript has 2 exons. The record is from RefSeq and is a predicted model, not a curated record. Lineage: Eukaryota; Metazoa; Chordata; Chondrichthyes; Myliobatiformes; Dasyatidae.
CUAUGAGAUGGGUCGAAGGUGGACGUUCUGUCACCAGAUCUUGACAUGGUAUCUAACUUUGAACACCUCCUGAAAAAGGGCACACAUUUCACACAGUCAUUUCAUAGGCAUUCUUUAUUCCCGUGACAAACACUGCGAUCGGCACACUGUGCGAACGGAAGUCACCCUGCAUGUUUGCCCUAAUAAACAUUAAAGAAACACAUCAGGUACAAAUCGCGGGGCCUUUUGCGUUCAAGGUUUGUUUUUUUUUGCCUAAGCAGACCGCAAAUGAAAUAGUUAAAGUUGCAUGUUUAAAGCAAAAACGACCGAUAAAUGCAAAAAGACCCGUGUAGUUGUUUGCUAUAAGUGGGUGUAAUAACAGACGUCAGGGGUCAGAUUCUUAACAGAAAUAAACUUCAAAAAUCGGAAGCAGCGCCUUACUAAGUAAAGCCGCCGAGCUUCCAUGGUGCAUAUUACAUGCACGGAUCUCCUCUUUAAAUUUAGCAGUGGCCCCUUGUCUAAGCAAGCUCCUGUCCAUGGAUCCUCACAUUCCUGUUUUUUCACCAAGGCACCUGUCACAGCCUCAUCUCCCCAGUGUUUCCCACUCGUCACCAACGCAGAGGCCACAAACUUACCUGUAUACACUGGGCUGCAAACUAGCGUCCACUUCGAUCGGAUCCUCACUUUUAUAUUAUUUUUUCUCCUUUUUUCUUUGCUUCGAUCCCCCAGUAAAAUCCGGAUCCGAUCAAGCUCCACGCGUUGCAACUUCAGCAGUUACGCUUGCGAGGUUUUUUUGUCGUUCAUCAUUUGAUAUACUGUCUCCAGAAUUAGCAACAGCAAGAAGUCUGAGAGCAGCUUUCGCAAAAAAAAUGUACGUGUGACAAAUUAUGCUACCAAGAAACAACACAUCAUUAUCCUUGGGCCUGGGAUUCAGUGAGUCGUAACAAGAGUAAUAGGAAAUCCACGGUUGGGGAGAGAAACGGUCGUGCAUCGCCAGUGAAGAGUGACCAUGGAGGGGCUGGAUGCUGGAGAGAGUUUUAAAAUUAUGGCUCAAGGCUAUUGUAAAAUUGUCGUGCGUAAAUGACUGCGCAGUCAAACAUCUUAGAAAAGCAGUCCCCUUUAUAAAGAACCGUCAAGUUUUAGUGCGCAUUGCUAAUUAGUCAAUUUCUCUUUCCUUCACAGCCUAGCGACUUCAGCUGAGCUGAAACUGCUAAUUCUGUGACCACGCUUCUCUCUCUGGGUGAAUGAAUAUCUCACAGGGAAAAAAAAAGACUCUGUCCCACAAAAUAUUUUUCUCCUCAUCUUUCACAUGCAUGGAUUUAUGAAGGUGGAUGAACAAUGCAAUCUUCAGAUGAUGGCACAAACUUUCUUACCAUUUUAUUGCCUAUGCAGUUGCAUAAGAUGACAAACCAGCACUGUACUGCCUGCAAUAAUGAAUUGCACGGAUUCUAUCCCAUUAAUACUGUUGAUGCAUUGAAACAAAGAAAUGAUUAUCCACUUGAUAUUACGAUCGCUGGAAAUUAUCAGAUUGUCUUGUUAAUGUCUUGGUAAUACUGACAUUUUGUUAUUAAGACUUUCUCUUUCAAUUGCAUCAGAUGACAUACAUUGUCAGACUAACACUGCUAUAAUGAAUUAGUCUAGUUUAUAUUACACUAACACCAUUGCGGCAUAAAAGCAAAGUUAUUAUCCCACUCCUAUCAUAUUAAUUUAAUAUAAAACAGAUUGUCUUUAUAGUGUAUCCAAGUACAGGGGGGGAAACACAAAGAGCACGUCUCAUCGUUGCUGAACUGAAUAAAACAAAAUGUAUGGGA